CCGAUGUAGCUCAGUUGGUCAGAGCAGCUGAUUUGUAAUCAGCAGGUCGUGGGUUCGAAUCCCUCCAUCGG
RNAcentral lists this transfer RNA (71 nucleotides) under fish gut metagenome. It matches the Rfam family "tRNA". Rfam says of the family: Transfer RNA (tRNA) molecules are approximately 80 nucleotides in length. Their secondary structure includes four short double-helical elements and three loops (D, anti-codon, and T loops). RNAcentral also lists the same sequence under 2 other names. The record is from RNAcentral.